AUCCCACCACUGCCACC
RNAcentral lists this unclassified non-coding RNA (17 nucleotides) under Mus musculus (house mouse). RNAcentral's name for it is "oocyte_clustered_small_RNA13665". The record is from RNAcentral. Lineage: Eukaryota; Metazoa; Chordata; Mammalia; Rodentia; Muridae.